ACAUUCAUGCAAAUUUGAUCCAGAUCGAAAGUCUAGAUUAAUAAAACGCAGAUCAUAUUGCCAGACGAAUUUUGUCAGUGGUUUAGUAAAUAAAAAGUGUUGCUUGAAUUAUUAAAACUCUUGUCAGUUUAAAACACAAAUACAUAUAAUAUGUACAAUUCAUAAAUUUAAAACAAAAUUACUCUAAUUUAUAACAUUCUCACACGCUGUAUAUUGAUUAAGAAAGAUCCACACAAUAAUAAUUACACUUCCAAUUUCAUUUAUCUAUCUUGUGACAUGUUAUGCGAUCUACACUGUGACGCAGACAUUGAUUAUAUUAGAUGUUAGAAAAGUUGCAUACAUUUCACCAUUUUUACUUUACGAGCAUAUUGAUAUGCUUUCAGCAAAAGUUACUGAUCUGAUGUUACAUGAAACAUGAUCUCCCAAGAAUUACAAUGAGGGGUGGGUUGGUUCAGGUUCUACGUAACAAUUUAUUUUAUAUACAAUUAAUUUGAAAGUAUUAUUUACUUUCUACAAUUCACUUGGGCAUUCCAAUUGUUAGGGUUUCCAUUGGUAAAUUUGGAUUUAAAAAUUAAACUCAUGUUGACUUUAUUCGUGUCCAAUGGAACACACGGUUGAAAAUCGAUUGGUUUUUUUUACAUUUGACAGAAGUAAACUUAAUUUGAUAGUCAAGCUCAUUUUUAUAGACUCAUUUGUAAAGCAAAUCAAUUAAUUUUUGAUCUAGAUCUGUCAAAACACAAAUUUCCCCUGGGGUAAAAUAAAUUGAUUUAUUUUUGAUCUAAAAGCAAAUUUGCAGAUCUAGAUUUUAUUGGAAAUGUGUUCAGUGUCAGUAGUACAGUUCGUCGUUAUAUCUUCUCUUCCAUUCUCCAUCUAUGCGUACGGGACAAAAAUCACCCGAAUAAUUUUUCUCUCGAAGCAUUCUAAGACGUUCUCAUCUUUCUUUGACAGGAUGACAGCAGGUCUUUUUUUGAUGACAGCACAUUCUUGGUCUUGCCCUCAUUGAACACACAACCCACCUUCUCCGCUUCCGUUGCAAUGCUCGUAAACGCUUCACUGACAUCACGCUUUGAUCUUCCAAUUAUUUCAAUAUCAUCUGCGUAUCCGAGUAGUUGGAAGGACCUUUGCAAGAUUGUGUAUAUAGUGUUGACGGUUGAGUUUUGCACAAUACUUUUAGGAACGAUGUUGAAAGGCGCAUGACAGUGCAUCGCCUUGUCUAAAACCUUUUUUGGCAUCAAAUGCAUCGGUGAGAUCUUUUCCGACUUUGAUAGAGCAGCGUGCAUUCUCCAUUGUCAUUCUGCACAAACGAAUAAGUUUGACAGGGAUGCCAAAACUUGACAUUGCUCUUCCCUACGGAUGACAGCACACGCAGCUUUAAAAUCGAUAAAGAGAUGGUUGGUAUCGAUUUGAAGCUCCUGGAUUUUUCCAAGAUCUGAAGUUGUGUGAAUAUUUGGUCGAUAGUAGAAUUUCCUGAAGCGACCCUGACAAGGACCUAUCAGCGCCGAAUGGCUUCAGAUGUAUGGUUCAGAUGGUCUUCUUUCUUAUGUAUCGGACACACUAUGCUCAGAUUCCACUAAUAGAGCAUCCUUUCUUCCGACCAUAUUUUGCAGAUGAAUUGGUGCAUAGUCAAUACCAAGUAAUCGCCUUUGAAUAGUUUGGCAGCGAUGCCGUCAGUUACAGCAGCUUUGUUUGAUUUAAGUUUAGAUAUAGCUAUCGUCCCUUCGUCAAGGUCGGUUGAUCUGCGUCUAUCUAUCGGUUGAGUGGUUCUAUCUCCUUUACAGCGGAAUUCGGUUCGUCAUCGCCGUUAUAUAAUUUGGAGAAGUGGUCUUUCCAUAUUCUCAACAUCGACUGCGGUUCUACUACGAUGUUCCCUGAUCGUCUUUACAGGCUUCGGUUCGUGGCUGGUACCCUUGGGAGGUUUUUUUUAAGUUUUGGUAAAAUUUACGAACCUCAUUCCUGUUGUAACACCCCUCUAUCUCCUCGACCAUGCUCUCUUUUUUUCCAUCUUAGAAGCCGGUGUUCCUCUCUCCUCUUCUGCUCGUAGAGCUCGUGAGCAGCUCUGGUUCUGUUUCGCUGGGUGCGCUUGCCGGCAUUCGUCGUCAAACCAAGGGUUUCGCUGUGGUGGCCGUGUGAAAACUUGCACUUCAGAGGCGGCAUCUCUGAUGGCUGCAAGGCAAUGUUGCCACUGAUUUUCAAUGCUUAAUGCAGUAAGCAUAGGACUGCUUAAGAGGUUAUUAGAAACUCGAUCGGAAAAGGACAUGGCAGACUCUUGCGACUUUAGACGUUUAACGUCGAAAUUUGUCACAGUACUUCCUUGUUUUGGCUUGGAUCGGAAUAUCCGUAGCCGUACCUUGGCUACGACGAGGUAGUGGUUCGAGUCAAUGUUGGCCCCCCGGAAUGUUUGGAUAUCCUGUAUACUGGAGAAGUGUCAUGCGUCGAUGUGGUCAAACUGGUUGACGGUUGAUUGAUCAGGAGAUUUCCAUGUCCGAUAUUGAGAUGUGUGAACUGCGUAGUAACUACCAGAACUUCUCGCCCCACAGCAAAAUCGAUCAGCCUGAAUCCGUUAUCGGAGGUGAUGCCGUGCAGGCUGUAUCUCCCGAUUAUGCCACUAAAGAUGUCUUCUCUUCCUAGCUUGGCAUUAAAAUCUCUUAAGACAAUAUUAAUGUCAAAGCCAGGGAACUGCUCAUAUGUCUUGUCCAAGAGCUCGAAGAAUAUGUCUUUGGUGUCUUCAUCUUUCUCCUCUAUUGGGGCAUGUGCGCAUAUUAAGCUUAUGUUGGCGAAUUUAGUUAUUUAGUAUUUUUUACGUGGCCAGGAAGUCACCCCGACGGCACAACCCCCAACCUGACCACAUCCGUCACAAUGACAGAUACAAUUAAUAUUGGCAUUGGUGCGGGAAAAUGCGGGGGGGGGGGGUUCCACUCGUCUUAUAAUGUAUAAGUUAACAUUGAAUUUUAAAGCAAAAAUUAUUAAAUUUACAUUUCUCAUUUAAAUGCAACAAAACCGAUUUUAUUUAAAAAAAAUUGAUUUAUUUUACCAAUGGAAAAUCUCAUGUGUAAACUAUCAAGUCAAAUUUGAUAAACCGUGAAUUCGCUAUAAAUGGAGUCUCCGUAUAGUAUUGGUUUUAAAUCCAUAAAGUUAAUUAUGCCGAUACAAAAUCCUUUGUGACUUUUUGACGUCCUUAAAAUGAGAGAAAUGUCAAAAUUGACAUUUGCACUGUAAACACAAAACUUGGCUUCUAAUUGGCUAUAAAUCUAAUAUUUAUUUUCUAAAUUAUUUGAAUUUUAUUUUUUUUU
Eupeodes corollae is the source of this 3290-nucleotide long non-coding RNA. RefSeq lists it as uncharacterized. The transcript is spliced from 2 exons. The record is from RefSeq and is a predicted model, not a curated record. NCBI's taxonomy places the organism in Eukaryota, Metazoa, Arthropoda, Insecta, Diptera, Syrphidae.